Molecule: long non-coding RNA, 956 nt
Filed under: Brassica napus (rape)
Lineage: Eukaryota; Viridiplantae; Streptophyta; Magnoliopsida; Brassicales; Brassicaceae
Description: long non-coding RNA (BNAP_LNC026603)
Source: RNAcentral
UAGGUUAGACACAACCUCAAAAGAGGGCCGUAAGCAUAAGAGUUUUGGUGUUGAAUGAGAGUAGACACAACAUAUAAGUGCUAGGGGUCAUGAGGGGGUCAUCGGGGGCUCUUUGGUCGUGGAUAAAUCUAGGAACGUGUUAGGAUAGUGUCUCUGUCUGAAUGUGACAUGAUAGUUAACUCGAAAGAUAGUUAGUAAAACACUUUUUAUUGUUUAUGCUUUAGUACUUUGUAAAAUAAAUAAAAGAUUGUACUUGUAUGUAUUACUCUCUCUCUAUCAGACCCGUCUUUCACUUUUGUAGAUUAUUACACUACUUUGGUCAGAGUUUUCUACAUAUCCAAUGGAAUUAGAUUAAAUGAUCUAUAAUACAAAUUAAUGGGUAGGAAACAACUCUGACAUAAGCGAAUAUGAUAGUCAACAAUGUCUCAAAACUCUGAGUAUGACAUAGCCGCAUACGGUAAAAGCAGCAUGACAUAGCCGCAUACGGUAAAAGCAGCAACGACUUGUUGAUAGAAAGCUGCAGAGAGGAGUUUUUAAGGAAUUUUUUUUACAAAUAUAAAGAUUACGUUACAAAAAACAAAAUAUAAAGAUAUUUAUAUUGAAAAAUGAAAUCAAGAAAUAAAUAUGAAACCAAAUAAAGAAUAUACAUAACUUUUGUUCUAAGGAAGAAAAAAAUAAAUCAAGCAUGUAAAGUUCUAGAAAUAUUUCUAGCCUCAAAUGAUCCUAAACCAAGUUUUUCUUCCCAAUCUAGAUCACAAGACCCAAAAUCACCAAAUUAUGUUUCAUUAAUAUGAGCAUUUACAAUAUUACCAUUUUCUUUGUCUAAUUACAUUAUAAUUUUUUUUUUGGAAAAAUAAAAGAGAUCACGAGACGACGGUUUCACUUACCUGCCGCUUCGAUCAUCUCUUCCGUCAUCAUCUCCGGCGUCGCUAAUCCUUGCCGUCAUCUAUCCGCCG